CCAGAGAACUUAGCAGAGAUGCUUUAGUGCCUUCGGGGAACGCUGAGACAGGUGCUGCAUGGCUGUCGUCAGCUCGUGUUGUGAAAUGUUGGGUUAAGUCCCGCAACGAGCGCAACCCUUAUCCUUUGUUGCCAGCGAUUCGGUCGGGAACUCAAAGGAGACUGCCGGUGAUAAACCGGAGGAAGGUGGGGAUGACGUCAAGUCAUCAUGGCCCUUACGAGUAGGGCUACACACGUGCUACAAUGGCGCAUACAAAGAGAAGCGACCUCGCGAGAGCAAGCGGACCUCACAAAGUGCGUCGUAGUCCGGAUCGGAGUCUGCAACUCGACUCCGUGAAGUCGGAAUCGCUAGUAAUCGUGA
This 360-nucleotide ribosomal RNA is filed under the name Pantoea sp. RNAcentral's name for it is "bacterial SSU rRNA". It matches the Rfam family "Bacterial small subunit ribosomal RNA", at positions 988 to 1347 of the family's 1533-position model. Lineage: Bacteria; Pseudomonadati; Pseudomonadota; Gammaproteobacteria; Enterobacterales; Erwiniaceae. The record is from RNAcentral.